This 59-nucleotide transfer RNA is filed under the name Myxococcales bacterium. Its description in RNAcentral is "tRNA-Met". It matches the Rfam family "tRNA", at positions 8 to 63 of the family's 71-position model. From Rfam's summary of the family: Transfer RNA (tRNA) molecules are approximately 80 nucleotides in length. Their secondary structure includes four short double-helical elements and three loops (D, anti-codon, and T loops). Further hydrogen bonds mediate the characteristic L-shaped molecular structure. tRNAs have two regions of fundamental functional importance: the anti-codon, which is responsible for specific mRNA codon recognition, and the 3' end, to which the tRNAs corresponding amino acid is attached (by aminoacyl-tRNA synthetases). tRNAs cope with the degeneracy of the genetic code in two manners: having more than one tRNA (with a specific anti-codon) for a particular amino acid; and 'wobble' base-pairing, i.e. permitting non-standard base-pairing at the 3rd anti-codon position. The record is from RNAcentral. Lineage: Bacteria; Pseudomonadati; Myxococcota; Myxococcia; Myxococcales.
UAGCUCAGUCGGUUAGAGCGGCGGCUUCAUAAGCCGUAGGUCGGUGGUUCAAGUCCACU